RNAcentral lists this long non-coding RNA (1330 nucleotides) under Oryctolagus cuniculus (rabbit). Its description in RNAcentral is "lncRNA (ENSOCUG00000037217.1)". Lineage: Eukaryota; Metazoa; Chordata; Mammalia; Lagomorpha; Leporidae. The record is from RNAcentral.
CUCACUUUAAACAGUUUAACCCUGGUACUUUAUCCUUGGGAUGUUUCCGUCUCUGGGUUCCUUUUUUAAAGCACUUUAAAGAACAUGGCUGUGAUAGUUGAGUGCCUAACAGUGACUUGGGGGUGGUGCAGUGACUGGCGUUGGGAUUUGGACUGUGUUCCUCAUGCCCGGAUUGGGGAAUGUCCUGGGAGGCUGCUGUGACAGUGAGACUGCGCCGGGUCGGUGGUUGGGUGACUUGUACGUUGCUCUGUAUUCUGAAAAACCAGUCCUGUUGUGUCCUGAACAGAACUACUAACCCUUUCCUUCCCUUCACAAAAAUAAAGGUGUGAGCUCCAAACUCGCUCGGGUUGUUGUAUGGCUAUGUUCCUGUGUUACAUUUUCGACCCUGUCCGGCGGCCUUGGCCUUGAAGGCUGCAUCUUCACACUGUACAUGGAGGUCUCUGUUCACUGGCGCCCACGCAGUGAGUGCUGCCUGCCGGGCGGGAGGGGCCCUCAGUUCACUGCUGGGGAAGGUGUGUUGAGCCACACGGCCAGUUGUGCUGGGUGUCAAGGGAGGAGAGUAAUUUCACCGGAAUCCAGACUCUUACACGGGGAGACGCCCAAAUGGUACCUUUCCUCGUGGUUUGGUGGAAACGAAAUAGAACGGGCGUGUGAUGUGUUUGUCUUUGGGAGGCUGGACUGUGUCGGGUUCGCGUCCAAGCACAAGGUUUUGAUCUUAUUAAAGAGUUUGGCUUUGGCUUCAUUUUCUCCUGUUGGUAAGUGGCUGAACCGGUCGGACCUCCUGGUGUUACAUAAGCAAAGGGUGUGGCUUGGAGUCCGGAGUGUGCGUCACCGUCACCCGAGUGCGUCAUCAUCGUCAGGAAGCAUCCUGUGUCGUGGGUGGGAGGCAGCGUUCCGUCCUGGGAGCUGCCCGUGUGUGUCAGCUCUUUCCGGCUGUGAGGCGUUGACUCACAGGAGACAAACUUGGGCUCAGAAUAGAAACCACGGGCAGCCUCCUGCUGACGAGGGAGGCGCUGUUUCCAGGGAGCAGAGGGGAGACUGCGGGCUGGGUGCUCUGGUCUGGGAAGGGGCCGUGGGACCUGAGCUUGAGCAGAGGGGAGCGGGCCUGCCCCCUCCCUGGCCACGCUCCCUUGUACACUACCCAGAAGCUGGCGUGGGGUGCGGGGGGAGGAAGGCCCUGUGCUACCCGCCCGCGACGCUGCGGAGCCCGAGGGCGCGCUCGAGACGGGGCCGAGCCAGCUGGAGCCGGACAGCAGUUAGGCAGCCGAGGGCGCGUGUGAGAAGAAAACUAGAAGAUGACGAUGGUCGGAAAACUAGAGAUAGAAAAUGA